This 2924-nucleotide ribosomal RNA is filed under the name Klebsiella pneumoniae. Its description in RNAcentral is "23S ribosomal RNA". It matches the Rfam family "Bacterial large subunit ribosomal RNA". Lineage: Bacteria; Pseudomonadati; Pseudomonadota; Gammaproteobacteria; Enterobacterales; Enterobacteriaceae. The record is from RNAcentral.
GGGUUGUGAGGUUAAGCGACUAAGCGUACACGGUGGAUGCCCUGGCAGUCAGAGGCGAUGAAGGACGUGCUAAUCUGCGAAAAGCGUCGGUAAGGUGAUAUGAACCGUUAUAACCGGCGAUGUCCGAAUGGGGAAACCCAGUGUGAUUCGUCACACUAUCGUUAACUGAAUACAUAGGUUAACGAGGCGAACCGGGGGAACUGAAACAUCUAAGUACCCCGAGGAAAAGAAAUCAACCGAGAUUCCCCCAGUAGCGGCGAGCGAACGGGGAGCAGCCCAGAGUCUGAAUCAGCUUGUGUGUUAGUGGAACGGUCUGGAAAGUCCGACGGUACAGGGUGAUAGUCCCGUACACCAAAAUGCACAGGCUGUGAACUCGAAGAGUAGGGCGGGACACGUGGUAUCCUGUCUGAAUAUGGGGGACCAUCCUCCAAGGCUAAAUACUCCUGACUGACCGAUAGUGAACCAGUACCGUGAGGGAAAGGCGAAAAGAACCCCGGCGAGGGGAGUGAAAAAGAACCUGAAACCGUGUACGUACAAGCAGUGGGAGCACCUUCGGGUGUGACUGCGUACCUUUUGUAUAAUGGGUCAGCGACUUAUAUUCUGUAGCAAGGUUAACCGUAUAGGGGAGCCGCAGGGAAACCGAGUCUUAACUGGGCGUUAAGUUGCAGGGUAUAGACCCGAAACCCGGUGAUCUAGCCAUGGGCAGGUUGAAGGUUGGGUAACACUAACUGGAGGACCGAACCGACUAAUGUUGAAAAAUUAGCGGAUGACUUGUGGCUGGGGGUGAAAGGCCAAUCAAACCGGGAGAUAGCUGGUUCUCCCCGAAAGCUAUUUAGGUAGCGCCUCGUGAAUUCAUCUUCGGGGGUAGAGCACUGUUUCGGCUAGGGGGUCAUCCCGACUUACCAACCCGAUGCAAACUACGAAUACCGAAGAAUGUUAUCACGGGAGACACACGGCGGGUGCUAACGUCCGUCGUGAAGAGGGAAACAACCCAGACCGCCAGCUAAGGUCCCAAAGUCAUGGUUAAGUGGGAAACGAUGUGGGAAGGCACAGACAGCCAGGAUGUUGGCUUAGAAGCAGCCAUCAUUUAAAGAAAGCGUAAUAGCUCACUGGUCGAGUCGGCCUGCGCGGAAGAUGUAACGGGGCUAAACCAUGCACCGAAGCUGCGGCAGCGACACUAUGUGUUGUUGGGUAGGGGAGCGUUCUGUAAGCCUGCGAAGGUGUGCUGUGAGGCAUGCUGGAGGUAUCAGAAGUGCGAAUGCUGACAUAAGUAACGAUAAAGCGGGUGAAAAGCCCGCUCGCCGGAAGACCAAGGGUUCCUGUCCAACGUUAAUCGGGGCAGGGUGAGUCGGCCCCUAAGGCGAGGCCGAAAGGCGUAGUCGAUGGGAAACAGGUUAAUAUUCCUGUACUUGGUGUUACUGCGAAGGGGGGACGGAGAAGGCUAUGUUAGCCGGGCGACGGUUGUCCCGGUUUAAGCAUGUAGGCUGGUUGUCCAGGCAAAUCCGGAUAAUCAAGGCUGAGGUGUGAUGACGAGGCACUACGGUGCUGAAGUAACAAAUGCCCUGCUUCCAGGAAAAGCCUCUAAGCAUCAGGUAACAUCAAAUCGUACCCCAAACCGACACAGGUGGUCAGGUAGAGAAUACCAAGGCGCUUGAGAGAACUCGGGUGAAGGAACUAGGCAAAAUGGUGCCGUAACUUCGGGAGAAGGCACGCUGGUGUGUAGGUGAAGUCCCUGCGGAUGGAGCUGAGACCAGUCGAAGAUACCAGCUGGCUGCAACUGUUUAUUAAAAACACAGCACUGUGCAAACACGAAAGUGGACGUAUACGGUGUGACGCCUGCCCGGUGCCGGAAGGUUAAUUGAUGGGGUUAUCCGUAAGGAGAAGCUCUUGAUCGAAGCCCCGGUAAACGGCGGCCGUAACUAUAACGGUCCUAAGGUAGCGAAAUUCCUUGUCGGGUAAGUUCCGACCUGCACGAAUGGCGUAAUGAUGGCCAGGCUGUCUCCACCCGAGACUCAGUGAAAUUGAACUCGCUGUGAAGAUGCAGUGUACCCGCGGCAAGACGGAAAGACCCCGUGAACCUUUACUAUAGCUUGACACUGAACAUUGAGCCUUGAUGUGUAGGAUAGGUGGGAGGCUUUGAAGCGUGGACGCCAGUCUGCGUGGAGCCAACCUUGAAAUACCACCCUUUAAUGUUUGAUGUUCUAACGUUGGCCCCUUACCGGGGUUGCGGACAGUGUCUGGUGGGUAGUUUGACUGGGGCGGUCUCCUCCCAAAGCGUAACGGAGGAGCACGAAGGUUAGCUAAUCCCUGGUCGGACAUCAGGAGGUUAGUGCAAUGGCAUAAGCUAGCUUGACUGCGAGCGUGACGGCGCGAGCAGGUGCGAAAAGCAGGUCAUAGUGAUCCGGUGGUUCUGAAUGGAAGGGCCAUCGCUCAACGGAUAAAAGGUACUCCGGGGAUAACAGGCUGAUACCGCCCAAGAGUUCAUAUCGACGGCGGUGUUUGGCACCUCGAUGUCGGCUCAUCACAUCCUGGGGCUGAAGUAGGUCCCAAGGGUAUGGCUGUUCGCCAUUUAAAGUGGUACGCGAGCUGGGUUUAGAACGUCGUGAGACAGUUCGGUCCCUAUCUGCCGUGGGCGCUGGAGAAUUGAGGGGGGCUGCUCCUAGUACGAGAGGACCGGAGUGGACGCAUCACUGGUGUUCGGGUUGUCAUGCCAAUGGCACUGCCCGGUAGCUAAAUGCGGAAGAGAUAAGUGCUGAAAGCAUCUAAGCACGAAACUUGCCCCGAGAUGAGUUCUCCCUGAGACUUUAAGUCUCCUGAAGGAACGUUAAAGACGAUGACGUUGAUAGGCCGGGUGUGUAAGCGCAGCGAUGCGUUGAGCUAACCGGUACUAAUGAACCGUGAGGCUUAACCUUACAACGCCGAAG